This 781-nucleotide ribosomal RNA is filed under the name uncultured Armatimonadota bacterium. Its description in RNAcentral is "bacterial SSU rRNA". It matches the Rfam family "Bacterial small subunit ribosomal RNA", at positions 559 to 1344 of the family's 1533-position model. The record is from RNAcentral. Lineage: Bacteria; Bacillati; Armatimonadota.
CGUAAAGCGCACUAGGCGGCUUCUAAGUCUGGUGUGAAAUCUCACGGCUCAACCGAGAGGCUGCACCAGAUACUGCGAAGCUCGAGGACGGGAGAGGAGAUUGGAAUUCCCGGUGUAGCGGUGAAAUGCAUUGAUAUCGGGAGGAACACCAGUGGCGAAGGCGGAUCUCUGGCCCGUUGCUGACGCUGAGGUGCGAAAGCUGGGGGAGCGAAAGGGAUUAGAUACCCCUGUAGUCCCAGCCCUAAACGAUGGGCGCUAGGUGUUGGGGGAUUAACCCUCAGCGCCGAAGCUAACGCAUUAAGCGCCCCGCCUGGGGAGUACGGCCGCAAGGUUGAAACUCAAAGGAAUUGACGGGGGCCCGCACAAGCGGUGGAGCAUGUGGAUUAAUUCGAUACUAACCGAAGAACCUUACCCAGGCUUGACAUGCACACGCAAGCCCUGGAAACAGGGCCCUCGGGUAACCGACGUGUGCACAGCUGUUGCAUGGCUGUCGUCAGCUCGUGCCGUGAGGUGUUGGGUUAAGUCCCGCAACGAGCGCAACCCGCGCCCCAUGUUGCCAACGGGUCAGCCGGGCACUCUUGGGGGACUGCCCGGGUAACCGGGAGGAAGGAGCGGAUGACGUCAAGUCGGCAUGGCGCUUACGCCUGGGGCCUCACACAUGCUACAAUGGGCGCAACAAAGGGUUCCGAUGCCGCGAGGCGGAGGCAAUCCCAAAAAUACGCCCUCAGUUCAGAUCGCAGGCUGCAACUCGCCUGCGUGAAGCCGGAAUCGCUAGUAACCG